AAUAUACUCCCUCCGUCCCAAAAUUCUUGUCUUACAUUUGUCUAAAUACGGAUGUAUCAAGUCAUGUUUUAGUAUUAGAUACAUCCGUAUCUAAACAAAUCUAAGACAAGAAUUUAAGGACGGAGGGAGUAUAUG
Triticum aestivum (bread wheat) is the source of this 135-nucleotide non-coding RNA. The record is from Rfam. Lineage: Eukaryota; Viridiplantae; Streptophyta; Magnoliopsida; Poales; Poaceae.